GGAUUGUGGCUCAGUGAUAGAGCACUCGCCUAGCAUGGGCGGGGCCGGGUUCGAUUCUCAGCACCA
This 66-nucleotide transfer RNA is filed under the name Marmota monax (woodchuck). RNAcentral describes it as "tRNA.Ala". Lineage: Eukaryota; Metazoa; Chordata; Mammalia; Rodentia; Sciuridae. The record is from RNAcentral.